CACUGGUGAGGAUUAUGUUGAACGGCGCAGGCGCCGGAUUUGUCAAUGACGAGAGGAUGGAAUCUGAAGAGCCAGUCUGUGUCAGAAGUGUGGUGGGCGCCAGAAGCAAUAAACCCUUACCACAGGCAGUAAAGUUCAAAACUAUAAGGCUUUCCACUCGUGAGGAUUAUGUUGAACGGCUCAGGCCCCGGAUUUGUCAAUGACAAGAGGAUGGAAUCUGAAGAGCCUAGGGCGGGCCAGAGGGGUGAAAGGGGAGAGGUUUGAUUUGAACAGCGCCGUGGGGCAUGGACACCGGCUGCAUAAACGCCGCCCCCGGACACCUUCAGAAGCUAAUUAGCAUAUGGAAUAAAAGUGUUUUUAAGAGAAAAUAGGCGAUGGACAACAAUAUGAAAGGGGUUCCCGUUCCAUCAGUCAGACACCGAAGAUCCCAAAAGGAUCUUAAAAUGGUGGAGGUCUCCACGGAUGAGGAAGAGUCGGAGGAGCAGGCGGAGGGAGAGCAACCCGGACCCUCCAAUAAUGUAGCGGCCCCUUCCCCACCUGAUGUGGGCGAAAUGUCGGAAAAAGAGGCAGAGCAGCCCGGACCCCCCCCCCCCCGAUAAUGUAGUGGCCCUUCCCCCAUGGGAUGGAUGAUGGAUCCUGUGAUGGACCAUGUGAUGAGCGCAGUGACAUCACCAAAGGUCCUUUUGCUCCCAGGUCAUCAAAGAAGAAAAAAGAAAAGAAGCCGGGCUGCGCGAACAAGUGGAUGAGUAAUAAAGAAAUGCAUCACACUCAUGACCCAGAUGCAGCGUGACCACCGUAAAAACAUGCAGGAAGUUGACAAGCUGCUAAUGAGGGUCAACAGUAAGGUUAAGCACCUGAACAAAAUGCACCUGGAAGAGAUGCAGGAAAUGGGGGAGCUACUUGGCAAACUUAAAAAGUUGCCAUAGAUGCCUUUUUUUAUUAUGUCAAUAAAUAGUUUUUGA
Molecule: long non-coding RNA, 962 nt
Organism: Bufo gargarizans (Asiatic toad)
Lineage: Eukaryota; Metazoa; Chordata; Amphibia; Anura; Bufonidae
Exons: 4
Source: RefSeq, a predicted model, not a curated record